Molecule: long non-coding RNA, 322 nt
Filed under: Phoenix dactylifera (date palm)
Lineage: Eukaryota; Viridiplantae; Streptophyta; Magnoliopsida; Arecales; Arecaceae
Description: long non-coding RNA (PDAC_LNC007150)
Source: RNAcentral
UCAUGUAAAUGCUGGCCAGUAUCCAGAACAGAAAUCCAUAGAAACAUCUCACAUCUAUAUACUAAACGGCAUCUCGCGGAAAUUCUACAUCCGCGGAAAGCCAUACUGCACCUCGCGGGGUCUUACUAUGCCCGGCGGCAAGCAGAAUAUAAGUCGUAGGACUGGCCGAUCCUACGCCUAGGGCCGUGUCCCCUCUAGGAAGGGACUGGGCUCCGCCCACCCAGAAGGCUACUAUGUGCACACAGGCCGAUGUUCAACCCCAUCGACUAUAGGUGUCCUGUAGAUACUGCCAAGCCAUGCAUGAAUGCCAUAAUGCACCCUC